This 956-nucleotide long non-coding RNA is filed under the name Piliocolobus tephrosceles (Ugandan red Colobus). RNAcentral's name for it is "lncRNA (ENSPTEG00000015082.1)". The record is from RNAcentral. Lineage: Eukaryota; Metazoa; Chordata; Mammalia; Primates; Cercopithecidae.
GAAAAAUACAGUACCAUUUAUAAAAAAUAUACAAAUAAACAAAUUCCCCACAUGUUUUUGAAAAGGUUUUUUUUUUUUAGUGGAGUGUUAAAUUAAUGCAGUUUUUAUAAAUUAUGUUGCGCUUAAAUAAUGCAAGACUUUUUUUUAAAAGUAAAAUUCGCUUGAGUGGUGGGAAACAACAUCCCAAAUGGACAGUAAAGAAUAAAGAGAAAUAUAAUGUAUAUACAUAUGACAGUUCUUACUAUGGAGAAAACUUUAAAUAUAAUAAUUUCAUAUUACAUAUAAGAUCAUAUAAAUAUUACAUUGAUUAUAUAGUAGAAAAUAUAUCCAGAACUUUAAAAAAUACAGGCAAAUGUAUUUAUAAUCCAAUAAAAACAUUUAUUUUAAAACACAAUCCAGAUGUUCGUUAUCAGUUAGUAGCACUCAUGGCUUUUUUAGGAACCACUUCAGUUAUAACUUGUUAUCAUAAUAAGAUUUAUCAAAACAUUAUUGAUAUUACUAAUAUGUUAGAAUUGGGAUUAGUAGAUGAUAUGAAAGACAAUAAUUUUUUUGAUACACAGAGUGAAUUCCAAAAUAAAAAUAUUGAAGAUUAUAGUCAAGACCAUGAAAGACUUACACAGUUAUGGGAAAAGGCGUUAAAAGAAGCAACAGAAAAAAAUAGUUUUGAAGAAUUGUGCAAUUUUUUAAUUAUAAAAGAUGAUGAACCUAUUGUUAAUUAUAAACCAAAACAUACAUGGAGAUAUAACAUGAUACCUUACGGAGCAGAUAAUCCGGAUACACAAACAUUCCCGAUUCCUUCAUAUGAACAACCAUUCAGAUCAUUUGCUUUAAAUUUCACAUAUAAUAAUUUAUCAGGUAAUUGGGGAGAUUAUAUUGAUAGAAAAGAUAAUAAAGGAUCAUUAUUAAGGCCAUCAAGGUAUAUGUUUACUGAUGUUAUUAUACCCGCUACAAAAUAA